CACCAGCUCUCCGAGUGGUGUGGAUGUUUAUUGGGCCUAAAGCAUCCGUAGCUGGCUGGACAAGUCCCCUGUUAAAUCCACCGAUUUAAUCGUUGGUGUGCGGGGGAUACUGUUCGGCUAGGGGACGGGAGAGGCAGACGGUAUUUUCGGAGUAGGGGUGAAAUCCUAUAAUCCCGGGAAGACCACCAGUGGCGAAGGCUGUCUGCUAGAACGCGCCCGACGGUGAGGGAUGAAAGCUGGGGGGAGCGAACCGGAUUAGAUACCCGGGUAGUCCCAGCUGUAAACGAUGCAGGCUAGGUGUUUGGACGGCCACGUGCCGUUCUAGUGCCGCGGGGAAGCCGUUAAGCCUGCCGCCUGGGGAGUACGGCCGCAAGGCUGAAACUUAAGGAAUUGGCGGGGGAGCACCACAAGGGGUGAAGCUUGCGGUUU
RNAcentral lists this ribosomal RNA (429 nucleotides) under uncultured archaeon. RNAcentral's name for it is "bacterial SSU rRNA". It matches the Rfam family "Archaeal small subunit ribosomal RNA", at positions 474 to 903 of the family's 1478-position model. The record is from RNAcentral.